AGAGUUUGAUCCUGGCUCAGGACGAACGCUGGCGGCGCGCUUAACACAUGCAAGUCGAGCGAGAACCAGGCUUCGGCCUGGGGAAAGCGGCGAACGGGUGAGUAACACGUGGGUAACCCACCCUUGGUACCGGGAUAGCCCGAGGAAACUCCGGAUUAAUACCGGAUAAGACCAACAGCUCUUCCGGGGGCGGUUGGGAGAAGGUAAGCUUCCGGCCUCUCCAACACAGGGACGGGGGCCCCCGGCGGGAAUAACUUGGUUGGUGGAGGGAACGGCUCCCCCCAGGGGGAACGAUCCCUAACUGGGCUGAGAAGGAACAACAACCCCCCCGGGGACUGAAAAACGGCCCCAACCCCCAACGGAGGGAACAUUGGGGAAUCCUUGCGCCAUGGGGGAGAACCUUAACCACCCGACCCCCCGUGGGGGGAGAAGGGCUUUCGGUUGGUAAACCCCCUUUCUCGAAGGGACGAAACCCCCUCGGGUGGAUAACCCCCAAGGUGGGGGUACCCCCCGAAAAAGCCCCGGCUAAAUACAUGCCACCGGCGCCGGUAAUACCUAGGGGCAGGCGUUGUCCCGGUUUAUUGGGCGUAAAAGCGUGUAGGCGGCAGGAGGUCCCUGUGUAAACUCAAGGUCAACCUCGAGACGCCGAUGAAACAUCUGACUAAAUCCGAGAAGAGAAUGGAUUCUGUGUAACCGCUGAAUGCGCGAUAUCAUGAGAAACCGCUGCUAAGGGGUUCUCUAUUUACGUACCGUACGCGGAACGCUGGAGACGAACAGGAUAGCUUCCUGGUCGUCCACGCUAUAAUGAUGUGUGCUAGUUUAGGGGGUCUCCACUCCUUCUUUUCGAUGUUACGGAUUUAGUCACCCUGUUUGAUAUUACGCCGAAGUCUAACCUCAAUGUAAUGACGGGGCCCGCACAAGCAGAGGAGCUUUUUGUUUAUUGGCGCGACGCGAAGACCCUCCCUUGGGUUUACCGCCGCGGGAGUCUGGUAGAAAUCCGGCACCCUUUCGGGACUCGCCACAGUUUUGCAUAUUUCUCCUAAGUUCUUUUCUCAGAUGAGGGUUAAUUCCCGCAAGGAGCCCACCCCCUCCCCCAGGUGCCAGCGUAAAAGACGGGGACCUCAUGGGAGACUCCCGGUAAAAAUUCGAAAAAAGGUGGUAAUGCCUCCAUUUCACCUCCCCCUUUAUUUCCCAGGGCUUCCCCACGUGGUACCAUGGGCCGGUUCCAAGGGGCGGCAAACCCCCCGGGGGGAAGGGAAUCCCAAAAAGGCCGGGUCCCCGUUUUGGGAUGGAAGGUGGAACCUUGCCCCUCAUGAAGGCGGAGGUUGUUUGUAAUCGCGGAUCAGCAUUGCCGCGGUGAAUACGUUCCCGGGCCUCGUACACACCGCCCGUCACACCACGAAAGUCGGCAAUACCCGAAGCCGGUGGGCUAACCCGCAAGGGAGGCAGCCGUCGAAGGUAGGGUCGAUGAUUGGGGUGAAGUCGUAACAAGGUAACC
Molecule: ribosomal RNA, 1498 nt
Filed under: uncultured bacterium
Lineage: Bacteria
Description: partial 16S ribosomal RNA
Rfam family: Bacterial small subunit ribosomal RNA
Source: RNAcentral